CGUGUCUCAAAGGCAACAAGACUAGCUAAAACAAAAGAAGGAGACAGAACAAACCCCAAAACGCCAAGUGCUCGCCCUCGUCUCCGAAUCACAACUGCAAAAGAAGGCUGGAACUAAUCACCGCUGGUAACUGGUACUGGGACCUGCAUCACGAAAUAGAUGCAGAGCGUAGCAUGAGUACCAACACAACAGGUACUCAGUAGGCAUCAUAGGCCGACUGAGCAAAAAGGGUAAAAACAAUAAGAAAGGAUAGAAUCUAGACACAGAGAGGUCAAGCGGAUAAGAAAAGAAAGCACACGAGCAUACCAGAAACAAACUAAGUACAACUAAACUAAACCUAACUGGACCCCCAUAAGCCCAGAAGGUACACUCGUGCGCAAGUUUAAAUAAAACCUGAACGGACCCCCAUAAGCCCGACAGGUACACAGCAAGGCUAAGUCUACUGAGAAAGAAGAAAAAUUAGGCUACCAGCCCAAAGUAACUAAGAUAAUCCAUCAGACUCCACCCAGCCAGCAGUACACUCCCAGCCCAGCUAGAAAGAGUGACCCUAGGGGGCACCCAACCAAACAGUCCACUCCCAGCCCAGCUAGAAAGAGGGACCCGUGAGUGAGGUAGAUAUCGCGAGUCGUCCUACCAUGCAGUCAUGCUCCCAGCCCAGCUAGAAAGAGCGACCCGGGGACACCCAGCCAGCAGCACACUCCCAGCCCAGCUAGAAAGAGAGGCCCGGGGGCGAUCGCCGAUAUCACCGAGUCUACCCAGCCAGCGAUACGUUCCC
Molecule: long non-coding RNA, 775 nt
Filed under: Solanum tuberosum (potato)
Lineage: Eukaryota; Viridiplantae; Streptophyta; Magnoliopsida; Solanales; Solanaceae
Description: long non-coding RNA (STUB_LNC001237)
Source: RNAcentral